Molecule: transfer RNA, 74 nt
Filed under: Kiritimatiellia bacterium
Lineage: Bacteria; Pseudomonadati; Kiritimatiellota; Kiritimatiellia
Description: Kiritimatiellae bacterium (gut metagenome) tRNA-Cys
Rfam family: tRNA
About the family: Transfer RNA (tRNA) molecules are approximately 80 nucleotides in length.
Source: RNAcentral
GGUGCGAUGGCCGAGUGGUUAGGCAGAGGUCUGCAAAACCUCGUACAGCGGUCCAAUUCCGCUUCGCACCUCCA